RNAcentral lists this ribosomal RNA (425 nucleotides) under uncultured bacterium. RNAcentral's name for it is "partial 16S ribosomal RNA". It matches the Rfam family "Bacterial small subunit ribosomal RNA", at positions 354 to 796 of the family's 1533-position model. The record is from RNAcentral.
GUGGGGAAUAUUGGGCAAUGGGCGAAAGCCUGACCCAGCAACGCCGCGUGAAGGAAGAAGGUCUUCGGAUCGUAAACUUCUAUCCUUGGUGAAGAUAAUGACGGUAGCCGAGAAGGAAGCCCCGGCUAACUACGUGCCAGCAGCCGCGGUAAUACGUAGGGGGCAAGCGUUGUCCGGAAUGAUUGGGCGUAAAGGGGGCGUAGGCGGCCUGGUAAGUCUGGAGGGAAAGUCCUGCUUUUAAGGUGGGAAUUGCUUUGGAUACUGUCGGGCUUGAGUGCAGGAGAAGUAAGUGGAAUUCCCGGUGUAGCGGUGAAAUGCGUAGAGAUCGGGAGGAACACCAGUGGCGAAGGCAGCUUACUGGACUGUAACUGACGCUGAGGCGCGAAAGUGUGGGGAGCAAACAGGAUUAGAAACCCCGGUAGUCC